This 908-nucleotide ribosomal RNA is filed under the name uncultured Thermicanus sp. Its description in RNAcentral is "bacterial SSU rRNA". It matches the Rfam family "Bacterial small subunit ribosomal RNA", at positions 105 to 1005 of the family's 1533-position model. Lineage: Bacteria; Bacillati; Bacillota; Bacilli; Thermicanales; Thermicanaceae. The record is from RNAcentral.
GGUGAGUAACACGUAGGCAACCUGCCCGUAAUACCGGGAUAACUUGGGGAAACCGAGGCUAAGCCCGGAUAGGCUCCUUUUCCGCAUGGGAGAGGAGGGAAAGGGUGCGACCCGAUUACGGAGGGGCCUGCGGCGCAUUAGCUAGUUGGUGAGGUAACGGCCCACCAAGGCGAUGAUGCGUAGCCGACCUGAGAGGGUGACCGGCCACACUGGGACUGAGAGACGGCCCAGACUCCUACGGGAGGCAGCAGUAGGGAAUCUUCGGCAAUGGGCGAAAGCCUGACCGAGCAACGCCGCGUGAGUGAGGAAGGCCUUCGGGUUGUAAAACUCCUGUUGUUUGGGAAAGAAGGGAAAGGGUAGGCCCCUUAGGUGACGGUACCAAACGAGAAAGCCCCGGCUAACUACGUGCCAGCAGCCGCGGUAAUACGUAGGGGGCGAGCGUUGUCCGGAAUGAUUGGGCGUAAAGCGCGCGCAGGCGGUCCUUUAAGUCUGAUGUGAAAGCCCGCGGCUUAACCGCGGAAGGUCAUUGGAAACUGGGGGACUUGAGGCUAGGAGAGGGAAGUGGAAUUCCUGGUGUAGCGGUGAAAUGCGUAGAGAUCAGGAGGAAUACCGAUGGCGAAGGCAGCUUCCUGGCCUAGGGCUGACGCUGAGGCGCGAAAGCGUGGGGAGCAAACAGGAUUAGAUACCCUGGUAGUCCACGCCGUAAACGAUGAGUGCUAGGUGUGAGGGGUUUCAAGGCCCUUCGUGCCGCAGUACACACAAUAAGCACUCCGCCUGGGGAGUACGGUCGCAAGACUGAAACUCAAAGGAAUUGACGGGGGCCCGCACAAGCGGUGGAGCAUGUGGUUUAAUUCGAAGCAACGCGAAGAACCUUACCAGGGCUUGACAUCCCUCUGACGGGAGUAGAG